GUCUUCCAUCUGCCGCCUUCACCGCUAUUCUUCCGCCUCGGUUCGAUUCCCCCUGACCAGGACCCGUCCGUGCUCACUCCCAACGCCAACCCGCCCGUGUUGACUGCCGCCGCCGUCCCCGUCGGCCGUCGCCGUCCCCAACCCAGACCUCGUGCCUGACCCCUCUGUGUUGCGCGCCGCCGGAGAUGAAGAUUAUCUACCUGGAGCAGCACGUGCAGUACCACAAUCACAGGGAGAUGAUGAGCCGGAAGUGGAGAAUGAAGAAUCCAUGAACGACAUUCGAAGUAGGAUCGCCGAUGCUUUGCUUGUGGCGAGAGAGGAGUAGAAUAUUAAUGUUGAUCGAGAACAUUGUUAUGUGAACCAUAUCUUUUGUGUGCGUUUAUCUUUUGUAACUAUUUGAGAACAUUACUAUCUAUUCAUAUUAUCUAUAA
Lolium rigidum is the source of this 431-nucleotide long non-coding RNA. RefSeq lists it as uncharacterized. The transcript is spliced from 2 exons. The record is from RefSeq and is a predicted model, not a curated record. NCBI's taxonomy places the organism in Eukaryota, Viridiplantae, Streptophyta, Magnoliopsida, Poales, Poaceae.